AUCCUCCAGAUUCUUCACCAGUCAGACACGAACACCAGUGUGAGCGGCUAUAAGAGGAGGGAGAUUGAAAUGGAAGCUGAUUUAAAUUCCGCUGUGACACACUAGCUAGUUUCCAACAAAC
This 121-nucleotide small nucleolar RNA is filed under the name Echinops telfairi (small Madagascar hedgehog). RNAcentral describes it as "Small nucleolar RNA SNORA61 (ENSETEG00000025888.1)". The record is from RNAcentral. Lineage: Eukaryota; Metazoa; Chordata; Mammalia; Afrosoricida; Tenrecidae.